ACAGGGUGAAUUCCAGACAAAAACCAAUCAGGGGCAGCCAACACCUUUCAACAAAGGACCCCCUCCCAGGCAGUAACCAGCCAGGCCCCGAAACUACAAGGUCACUAAACACCAAUCUAGGUGGCAAACCGCAACAUUCACACGUGCCUCAACCAGACAAGAGCCCCCUCUCUCCAGAAUAUUUAAAUAUAUUACCUUUUCUUUUCUGACUUAUAGCUGAUUCAAAAUCCCUCCUCUUCUAACAACAACUCUAUUUCUCUUCUCAUUUCACUUUUCCUCUGACACAAACUCUCUCCUGGCAAUUUUACUCCCAAACCUUUGCCUUUUUAAAAAAAAUGCCUUUCAUUUAGACCACAGCAAUCUCUUCACUAACUUUCACUACAACCCAUCUCUUCACUAACUUUCUUUAAACAUUCUUAAACAACGUUUUAAUCUCUUGAAGCUUUUUGCAUCUAAAAACAAAACCAUACAACAACAAGCUACUACACCAAGGAUCCUUUUUUCUUCCUUCAUAUGGGGAUUCUGGGGAUUCUAAUCCACAGAAACCUCUUCAGCCUAUUGGGACUUCCACUUUUUCCCCCAGUGCAAUAUUUGUAUUAUCACUAUCUUUUUCCUGGGCCGAUGGCCAGGACAUCACUCUUAUCUGCUCAAAAUUGACCUCUCACUUCUGGGCAUAGUGCCCAGAUUUUCCAAGUCCAGUCUCUUUUUACCUUUCACUAACAAAUAUUUUGUAAGAACGAAGAUUUAUUUCUACAUCUCAUUUCUAGCCAUUUUUGUGGACUCCCUGUUCUAUUUUCCUUAAGCUAAGUGUACUAGACUGCAACAAACAGCAACAAAAAUGGAAAUAUGCUUGGAUGGAAGGGCAACAGAGGCAAAUUUUUGGUCUCUGAAGAUCUUGGCUGGCCCAUUACAUUGAUCAUUCAAAUGGUUAUAGAAUUUACUGACGUGUCCAGAAGAAAAAUCUAGUGGAAUUAAUGAAACCUGAUGAAACAGGCAGAAAGACAACUCUUCACGGAGGUUCCACUCACUGCCUCCAAUCCUGCUUCUCCCUUUUCCAGAAUGGAUAGAAAGUUCAAUGAAAACAGAGUCCAGCUAAUCAGCAGAAGAAACUUCAUGAAAAGUCAAGCUAUUUAAUGGUAGAACAGAAUGCCUCUGGUAGUAUUGGGUUCUCCUUCACUGGACGUAUUUAAACAGAACCUGGAUGGAUUACAUUCAUAUCUGAGUAUCUGCUUCUUAGCUUGUGCUCAAGGCACAGCACACAUUUUUAGGUUAAGAGAAUGGGAAAUGUACAGCCCUCCAAAUGUGAUUGGAUUUUAACUCCAUCCAGCCCUAGCCGGAAUGACCAAUAGUAAGUGAUAAGAGGAAUUUCAGUGCCUUCUCUUCCACGAUAAUGCUCAGUUGUGGAAUCCAAGAACUAGCUGGGAGGACCCAGGUUGUUAUUAUAGGCUGAAGAAUGCAGUGGAGAUUCCAGGGGCUGAAGGUUUACACUAAAUAUACAUUCUGUAUUACUUAGCUAUGGCUCUUCUUCCAGAGAAAAAGAAUGACUGACCCAGGGAGUUCCAUGGUUAAGUAUGGUUUCUGUUUAUUUUCACAGUGUAUAGGAACAGUUCUUGGUCAAAACUCUCCAAACAUCUGUAAAUCAAUACAGUACAAUAUGACCAAAUAAAAUAGUUCUGGCAUGUUCUUCCAGAUGAACUGUUAGGUUUUAAA
Long non-coding RNA from Anolis carolinensis (green anole), 1710 nucleotides. RefSeq lists it as uncharacterized. Lineage: Eukaryota; Metazoa; Chordata; Lepidosauria; Squamata; Anolidae. The transcript is spliced from 3 exons. The record is from RefSeq and is a predicted model, not a curated record.